RNAcentral lists this ribosomal RNA (927 nucleotides) under Phytobius leucogaster. RNAcentral describes it as "eukaryotic LSU rRNA". It matches the Rfam family "Eukaryotic large subunit ribosomal RNA", at positions 144 to 828 of the family's 3401-position model. The record is from RNAcentral. Lineage: Eukaryota; Metazoa; Arthropoda; Insecta; Coleoptera; Curculionidae.
UGUGGUGUUCGGGAGGGUCCAUUAUCCCGAGAUUAUGCGGUGCGUCCAAGUCCUUCUUGAACGGGGCCACAGCCCAUAGAGGGUGCCAGGCCCGUAGUGACCGCCGCUGAUCGCGGGAGGAUCUCUCCUUAGAGUCGGGUUGCUUGAGAGUGCAGCCCUAAGUGGGUGGUAAACUCCAUCUAAGGCUAAAUAUGACCACGAGACCGAUAGCGAACAAGUACCGUGAGGGAAAGUUGAAAAGCACUUUGAAGAGAGAGUUCAAGAGUACGUGAAACCGUUUAGGGGUAAACCUGAGAAACCCGAAAGGUCGAAGGGAGAAAUUCAUUCGCGUUUCGCGGCAGGCGGUAGAUGGUCGUGUGACGGGAGGCGUUCGCGCUUACCGCACCUUCUGUUUAUCGAACCGGCAGCGAACGCGUGCACUUUUCUCCUGGUAGGACGUCGCGAUCCGUUGAGUGUCGGUCUACGGCUCAUGGUGGAGCCCGUUCGUACCACGUGUGCGAGCGGACCCGUGUGUCCCGGCUGACUCGCUCGACGGUAUACGAAAGGUUAAAGGCCGCUCUUGGAGCGUUCGACCCGUGGCAAGCGCGCCAGAUGCGUUGGCGAUCGGACCUAGUGCCGAUUCUGACCUCUGGUGACUGUUGGCUACGGAUGUCUCGGACAGACCUUCCGACCGAUCUGCGACGCUAUAGCUUUGGGUAAUUUCAGGACCCGUCUUGAAACACGGACCAAGGAGUCUAGCAUGUGCGCGAGUCAUUGGGAAUCACUAAACCUAAAGGCGCAAUGAAAGUAAAGGUCUUCCUUGCGGAGACUAAGGGAAGACGAGCGGUUUACCCUUAAAAGUGGCCGCUCCGCAUUCCCGGGGCGUCUCGUUCUCAUUGCGAGAAGAGGCGCACCAUGAGCGUACACGCUGGGACCCGAAAGAUGGUG